AGUGAACGCUGGCGGCGUGCUUAACACAUGCAAGUCGAACGAGAACGGAAUAUAGCUUGCUAUAUUUGUCAGCUAAGUGGCGCACGGGUGAGUAAUGUAUAGAUAACCUGCCCUUAAGAAAGGAAUAACAGUUGGAAACGACUGCUAAUGCCCUAUAUGCCUUUAAUACAUAAGUAUGCAAGGGAAACGCUUUAGUGCUUAAGGAUGGGUCUGUAUAGUAUCAGCUUGUUGGUGAGGUAAUGGUUCACCACGCCUAUGCGGCCUAACCGGUUUGAAAGGAUGAUCAGUCACACUGGAACUAAGACACCGUCCACACUCCUACGCGAAGCAGCACUCAGGAAUAUUGCACAAUACACGAAAUUCUGAUCCAGCAACGCCACUUAGAAAAUGACACAUUUCAGUUCAUAAACUCCUUUUAUAUAGGAAGAUAAUCACCAUACUAUAUAAAUAAGCACCGCCUAACUCCGUGCCACCACCCGCCGUAA
RNAcentral lists this ribosomal RNA (485 nucleotides) under uncultured bacterium. Its description in RNAcentral is "partial 16S ribosomal RNA". It matches the Rfam family "Bacterial small subunit ribosomal RNA", at positions 29 to 523 of the family's 1533-position model. The record is from RNAcentral.